RNAcentral lists this ribosomal RNA (765 nucleotides) under Lactiplantibacillus plantarum. Its description in RNAcentral is "bacterial SSU rRNA". It matches the Rfam family "Bacterial small subunit ribosomal RNA", at positions 104 to 854 of the family's 1533-position model. Lineage: Bacteria; Bacillati; Bacillota; Bacilli; Lactobacillales; Lactobacillaceae. The record is from RNAcentral.
UGGUGAGUAACACGUGGGAAACCUGCCCAGAAGCGGGGGAUAACACCUGGAAACAGAUGCUAAUACCGCAUAACAACUUGGACCGCAUGGUCCGAGCUUGAAAGAUGGCUUCGGCUAUCACUUUUGGAUGGUCCCGCGGCGUAUUAGCUAGAUGGUGGGGUAACGGCUCACCAUGGCAAUGAUACGUAGCCGACCUGAGAGGGUAAUCGGCCACAUUGGGACUGAGACACGGCCCAAACUCCUACGGGAGGCAGCAGUAGGGAAUCUUCCACAAUGGACGAAAGUCUGAUGGAGCAACGCCGCGUGAGUGAAGAAGGGUUUCGGCUCGUAAAACUCUGUUGUUAAAGAAGAACAUAUCUGAGAGUAACUGUUCAGGUAUUGACGGUAUUUAACCAGAAAGCCACGGCUAACUACGUGCCAGCAGCCGCGGUAAUACGUAGGUGGCAAGCGUUGUCCGGAUUUAUUGGGCGUAAAGCGAGCGCAGGCGGUUUUUUAAGUCUGAUGUGAAAGCCUUCGGCUCAACCGAAGAAGUGCAUCGGAAACUGGGAAACUUGAGUGCAGAAGAGGACAGUGGAACUCCAUGUGUAGCGGUGAAAUGCGUAGAUUUAUGGAAGAACACCAGUGGCGAAGGCGGCUGUCUGGUCUGUAACUGACGCUGAGGCUCGAAAGUAUGGGUAGCAAACAGGAUUAGAUACCCUGGUAGUCCAUACCGUAAACGAUGAAUGCUAAGUGUUGGAGGGUUUCCGCCCUUCAGUGCUGCAGCUA